UGAUAUAGGAGGAGUCUGCGGCACAUUAGCUAGUAGGUGAGGUAAGAGCUCACCUAGGCGACGAUGUGUAGCCGGUCUGAGAGGAUGAACGGCCACAAUGGAACUGAGACACGGUCCAUACUCCUACGGGAGGCAGCAGUGGGGAAUAUUGCACAAUGGGGGAAACCCUGAUGCAGCAACGCCGCGUGAGUGAAGAAGGUUUUCGGAUUGUAAAGCUCUGUUAGCAGGGAAGAGGAAGGACGGUACCUGCAGAGGAAGCCACGGCUAACUACGUGCCAGCAGCCGCGGUAAUACGUAGGUGGCAAGCGUUGUUCGGAAUAACUGGGCGUAAAGGAUGCGUAGGCGGUUGAGUAAGUUAUGUGUUAAAUAUAUAGGCUUAACCUGUAGAAAGCACAUAAAACUGUUUAACUAGAGUGCAGGAGAGGUAAGUGGAAUUCCUAGUGUAGCGGUGAAAUGCGUAGAGAUUAGGAAGAACACCAGUGGCGAAGGCGACUUACUGGACUGUAACUGACGCUGAGGCAUGAGAGCAUGGGGAGCAAACAGGAUUAGAUACCCUGGUAGUCCAUGCUGUAAACGAUGGGUACUAGGUGUGGGUUGUGAAUAACAAUCCGUGCCCGUCGCAAACGCAAUAA
RNAcentral lists this ribosomal RNA (632 nucleotides) under uncultured bacterium. Its description in RNAcentral is "bacterial SSU rRNA". It matches the Rfam family "Bacterial small subunit ribosomal RNA", at positions 216 to 863 of the family's 1533-position model. The record is from RNAcentral.